Molecule: ribosomal RNA, 467 nt
Filed under: uncultured bacterium
Lineage: Bacteria
Description: bacterial SSU rRNA
Rfam family: Bacterial small subunit ribosomal RNA
Source: RNAcentral
AUGAAUGCUGGCGGCGUGUCUAAGGCAUGCAAGUCGAACGGAUUCACCCAUAUAGCAAUAUAGGGGUGAGUUAGUGGCAAACGGGAGCGUAACACAUUGGUAACCUACCCCAGACUCGUGGAUAACGGUUGGAAACGACCGCUAAUACACGAUAUUGAUGAGGGGACGCAAGUCAUUCUCAUUGAAAGUUUUUCGGUCUGGGAGGGGCCUAUGGUCUAUCAGCUAGUUGGCGGGGUAACGGCCCACCAAGGCUAUGACAGAUACCAGGCGCGAGAGCGUGACCUGGCUCAUUGGAACUGAGACACUGUACAAACACCUACGGGUGGCUGCAGUCGAGAAUAUUCCACAAUGCACGAAAGUGUGAUGGAGCGACGCCGCGUGUCAAAAGAAGGCCUUCGGGUCGUAAAUGACUUUUCUCAGGGACGAAUUUUGACGGUACCUGAGGAAUAAGGGGUUGCUAACUCUGU